This 153-nucleotide unclassified non-coding RNA is filed under the name uncultured Phaeosphaeriaceae. RNAcentral's name for it is "sequence contains ITS2". The record is from RNAcentral. Lineage: Eukaryota; Fungi; Ascomycota; Dothideomycetes; Pleosporales; Phaeosphaeriaceae.
GUACCUUCAAGCUUUGCUUGGUGUUGGGUGUUUGUCUACUCCUUGGUGUUUAGACUCGCCUUAAAACAAUUGGCAGCCAGUGUUUUGGUAUUGAAGCGCAGCACAAGUAGCGUAACAAUCUAAUAAUACUAGCAUCCACAAGCCUUUUUUCAC